GACGAACGCAGGCGGCGUGCCUAAUACAUGCAAGUAGAACGCUGAAGGAGGAGCUUGCUUCUCAGGAUGAGUUGCGAACGGGUGAGUAACGCGUAGGUAACCUGCCUGGUAGCGGGGGAUAACUAUUGGAAACGAUAGCUAAUACCGCAUAAUAGUAGAUGUUGCAUGACAUUUACUUAAAAGGUGCAAUUGCAUCACUACCAGAUGGACCUGCGUUGUAUUAGCUAGUUGGUGGGGUAACGGCUCACCAAGGCGACGAUACAUAGCCGACCUGAGAGGGUGAUCGGCCACACUGGGACUGAGACACGGCCCAGACUCCUACGGGAGGCAGCAGUAGGGAAUCUUCGGCAAUGGACGGAAGUCUGACCGAGCAACGCCGCGUGAGUGAAGAAGGUUUUCGGAUCGUAAAGCUCUGUUGUAAGAGAAGAACGAGUGUGAGAGUGGAAAGUUCACACUGUGACGGUAUCUUACCAGAAAGGGACGGCUAACUACGUGCCAGCAGCCGCGGUAAUACGUAGGUCCCGAGCGUUGUCCGGAUUUAUUGGGCGUAAAGCGAGCGCAGGCGGUUAGAUAAGUCUGAAGUUAAAGGCUGUGGCUUAACCAUAGUACGCUUUGGAAACUGUUUAACUUGAGUGCAAGAGGGGAGAGUGGAAUUCCAUGUGUAGCGGUGAAAUGCGUAGAUAUAUGGAGGAACACCGGUGGCGAAAGCGGCUCUCUGGCUUGUAACUGACGCUGAGGCUCGAAAGCGUGGGGAGCAAACAGG
This 763-nucleotide ribosomal RNA is filed under the name uncultured Streptococcus sp. RNAcentral's name for it is "bacterial SSU rRNA". It matches the Rfam family "Bacterial small subunit ribosomal RNA", at positions 28 to 776 of the family's 1533-position model. Lineage: Bacteria; Bacillati; Bacillota; Bacilli; Lactobacillales; Streptococcaceae. The record is from RNAcentral.